UGGCGGCCGGGAAGGCCGACGUCGGCUUCGCCACGGUCGACGCGGCGAUGCUGGCCAGCGACGGGAGCCCGCCGUUCCACCGGCGGCUGCCGG
RNAcentral lists this transfer RNA (93 nucleotides) under Actinocatenispora rupis. RNAcentral's name for it is "tRNA-Arg". The record is from RNAcentral. Lineage: Bacteria; Bacillati; Actinomycetota; Actinomycetes; Micromonosporales; Micromonosporaceae.